AUUGAACGCUGGCGGCAUGCUUUACACAUGCAAGUCGAACGGCAGCACGGAGAGCUUGCUCUCUGGUGGCGAGUGGCGAACGGGUGAGUAAUAUAUCGGAACGUGUCCAAUAAUGGGGGAUAACUAGUCGAAAGAUUAGCUAAUACCGCAUACGCCCUGAGGGGGAAAGUGGGGGAUCUUCGGACCUCACGUUAAUGGAGCGGCCGAUAUCUGAUUAGCUAGUUGGUGGGGUAAAAGCCUACCAAGGCGACGAUCAGUAGCUGGUCUGAGAGGAUGAUCAGCCACACUGGGACUGAGACACGGCCCAGACUCCUACGGGAGGCAGCAGUGGGGAAUUUUGGACAAUGGGCGAAAGCCUGAUCCAGCCAUGCCGCGUGAGUGAAGAAGGCCUUCGGGUUGUAAAGCUCUUUCGCAAGGAAAGAAAACUUACAUAUUAAUACUAUGUGAGGAUGACGGUACCUUGAUAAGAAGCACCGGCUAACUACGUGCCAGCCGCCGCCGUAACAC
This 507-nucleotide ribosomal RNA is filed under the name uncultured bacterium. RNAcentral's name for it is "bacterial SSU rRNA". It matches the Rfam family "Bacterial small subunit ribosomal RNA", at positions 30 to 526 of the family's 1533-position model. The record is from RNAcentral.